This 253-nucleotide ribosomal RNA is filed under the name uncultured bacterium. RNAcentral's name for it is "partial 16S ribosomal RNA". It matches the Rfam family "Bacterial small subunit ribosomal RNA", at positions 524 to 776 of the family's 1533-position model. The record is from RNAcentral.
UACGAAGGGGGCUAGCGUUGUUCGGAAUUACUGGGCGUAAAGCGUGCGCAGGCGGCCAUCCAAGUCAGUGGUGAAAGCCCGGAGCUCAACUCCGGAAUUGCCAUUGAAACUGUUCGGCUCGAGUACGAGAGAGGUGAGUGGAAUUCCCAGUGUAGAGGUGAAAUUCGUAGAUAUUGGGAAGAACACCGGUGGCGAAGGCGGCUCUCUGGACCGAGACUGACGCUGAGGCGCGAAAGCGUGGGGAGCAAACAGG